AGCUUCUGCGUAGAGUCGCUUCUGCCGCUGCACAGCGCCACCGCCGGUGCGAGGAUGACGUCCAUGCUCGCCAUCCCUGGCCGAGGCCUCGGGUGGCUCAUCCAAGGGCUUGAUGAAACUAGAUGAAGAGCAACCGGGGAAAGCGGAAACCGAUGGAGUAUGAUGCCAGCGCUUUAGGAACCAGGAGAUCAGUGGUGCUUGGAGUUCUUUUUGUGACCCUGCAGAAUGAGCUGACAAAAAAAACAUACGUUUUACUUUAUCUGUAUGUGAACUGCGACGAUGACUUGAUGAAGAAUUUUGUAUGGUGCUCUGUUUUUCGUUGUGAAAAUUGUUUGGCUUGGUUUGUUCA
Panicum virgatum (switchgrass) is the source of this 349-nucleotide long non-coding RNA. RefSeq lists it as uncharacterized. The transcript is spliced from 3 exons. Lineage: Eukaryota; Viridiplantae; Streptophyta; Magnoliopsida; Poales; Poaceae. The record is from RefSeq and is a predicted model, not a curated record.